UAGGGAAGUCUUCCACAAUGGGCGCGAAGCCUGAUGGAGCAACACCGCGUGAGUGAAGAAGGGUUUCGGCUCGUAAAGCUCUGUUGUUGGAGAAGAACGUGCGUGAGAGUAACUGUUCACGCAGUGACGGUAUCCAACCAGAAAGUCACGGCUAACUACGUGCC
This 164-nucleotide ribosomal RNA is filed under the name uncultured bacterium. RNAcentral's name for it is "partial 16S ribosomal RNA". It matches the Rfam family "Bacterial small subunit ribosomal RNA", at positions 355 to 509 of the family's 1533-position model. The record is from RNAcentral.